Molecule: long non-coding RNA, 216 nt
Organism: Alosa sapidissima (American shad)
Lineage: Eukaryota; Metazoa; Chordata; Actinopteri; Clupeiformes; Clupeidae
Exons: 3
Source: RefSeq, a predicted model, not a curated record
AGUAUGAGUUAGACGCGAGCAAGUUCACCUAACGGAAAAAAACGAAAAGACGCAAAAUCAUUCAUCUUGGGACAACAUGCAGCACCAAACUAUAUAGGAAUUAAACACCUUCACGUCUUUUCUAUCACCAAACCGAGUCUGUUCUAUCACAUCUAAGCGACAAUUUCGUGGUGCUUUCAAUAGUAUUGAAGACUGUUUUGAAAGUUCCCAAAUGGA